UACGUAGGGUGCAAGCGUUAUCCGGAAUUAUUGGGCGUAAAGAGCUCGUAGGCGGUUUGUCGCGUCUGCUGUGAAAACUGGGGGCUCAACCCCCAGCCUGCAGUGGGUACGGGCAGACUAGAGUGCGGUAGGGGAGAUUGGAAUUCCUGGUGUAGCGGUGGAAUGCGCAGAUAUCAGGAGGAACACCCGUGGCGAAGGCGGCUCCCUGGUCCGUCCCUGACGCUGAGACGCGAAAGCGCGGGGAGCGAACGGG
RNAcentral lists this ribosomal RNA (253 nucleotides) under uncultured bacterium. Its description in RNAcentral is "partial 16S ribosomal RNA". It matches the Rfam family "Bacterial small subunit ribosomal RNA", at positions 524 to 776 of the family's 1533-position model. The record is from RNAcentral.